This 253-nucleotide ribosomal RNA is filed under the name uncultured bacterium. Its description in RNAcentral is "partial 16S ribosomal RNA". It matches the Rfam family "Bacterial small subunit ribosomal RNA", at positions 524 to 776 of the family's 1533-position model. The record is from RNAcentral.
UACAGAGGGGGCAAGCGUUGUUCGGAAUUACUGGGCGUAAAGCGCACGUAGGCGGAUUGCUAAGUCAGGGGUGAAAUCCUGGAGCUCAACUCCAGAACUGCCUUUGAUACUGGGUAUCUCGAGUAUGGAAGAGGUGAGUGGAAUUCCGAGUGUAGAGGUGAAAUUCGUAGAUAUUCGGAGGAACACCAGUGGCGAAGGCGGCUCACUGGUCCAUUACUGACGCUGAGGUGCGAAAGCGUGGGGAGCAAACAGG